This 428-nucleotide ribosomal RNA is filed under the name Lactiplantibacillus plantarum. RNAcentral's name for it is "bacterial SSU rRNA". It matches the Rfam family "Bacterial small subunit ribosomal RNA", at positions 377 to 797 of the family's 1533-position model. Lineage: Bacteria; Bacillati; Bacillota; Bacilli; Lactobacillales; Lactobacillaceae. The record is from RNAcentral.
GUGGCUCUGCUCUCUCUACUCUUGUAUGAAUGAAGAAGGACUUCUGAUCGGAAACUCUGCUGCCCUAUAACAUCUCGAGUGAGAGUAAUUGUUUUUUCCAUGACUGUAUCUAACCAUUUAGUCACGGUUAACUACGUGCCAUCAGCCGCGGCAAUACGUAGGUGGCAAUCGUUGUCCGGAUUUAUUGGGCGUAAAGGGAACGCAGGCGGUCUUUUAAGUCUGAUGUGAAAGCCUUCGGCUUAACCGGAGUAGUGCAUUGGAAACUGGAAGACUUGAGUGCAGAAGAGGAGAGUGGAACUCCAUGUGUAGCGGUGAAAUGCGUAGAUAUAUGGAAGAACACCAGUGGCGAAAGCGGCUCUCUGGUCUGUAACUGACGCUGAGGUUCGAAAGCGUGGGUAGCAAACAGGAUUAGAUACCCUAGUAGUCAA